CACGUAGGCGGACUGGAAAGUUGGAGGUGAAAUCCCAGGGCUCAACCUUGGAGCUGCCUUCAAAACUAUCAGUCUGGAGUUCGAGAGAGGUGAGUGGAAUACCGAGUGUAGAGGUGAAAUUCGUAGAUAUUCGGUGGAACACCAGUGGCGAAGGCGGCUCACUGGCUCGAUACUGACGCUGAGGUGCGAAAGCGUGGGGAGCAAACA
Molecule: ribosomal RNA, 207 nt
Filed under: uncultured bacterium
Lineage: Bacteria
Description: partial 16S ribosomal RNA
Rfam family: Bacterial small subunit ribosomal RNA
Source: RNAcentral